This is a non-coding RNA of Punica granatum (pomegranate), 782 nucleotides long. Lineage: Eukaryota; Viridiplantae; Streptophyta; Magnoliopsida; Myrtales; Lythraceae. The record is from RefSeq and is a predicted model, not a curated record.
UGCCAAUUUACAAAAACUAACACUCAUAUUGCAUUUGCAUUACUAAGGCAAAAUAAUAAUAAUCAUCAUCAUCUCUUGUUCCCGCCCACUGCUCCGCUCCUCCUCAAUCCAUCUUGGCAUCUCAACCACCGAUUGCCUUCCUACCAGCCUCCACAGUACGAAGCUUUCGCUCUUGGCCCUUGGGAGUUACAUCCUUCCUUGUCCAUCGAUCACCUCCCCCGAAAGCUCCUGCUUCCUAUUGUCUGCUCAUGCCACUCCAUAAUUUCACAUGCCUCCACCAGAUCGUUUAAACCGCUCUGCAGAACACCCAUAACGGUUUCUUUGCUGUCUGUCGAAUAAGAAAUGGAAAAAAAUUACUGCUGCCAAGGAGUCUUUCCCCUUCUACUCUCAAUCAUGAGUUCAGUUUCGUAUUAUGUCAGCACGUGGGCUUUGAUGCGCUGGUUUCUUUGUUGAAUAUCAAGGCAAUUUAAGUUUGCUCCUAUCUAUCCAAAGGGUACUUAUGGGAGGGCACUUGUCAUUCAUUUUUUUCAUUUUGUUUUGUUUUAUAGAAAUGGAGACAGUAUAUCAAAAUUUAGUGUAAGGGGAAAUAUACAGGGUAUAUAGUAUUGAUCUGUCGAAGCAUAUAUAUGAUGGUGCUCUCGAUCUCUGUCAUGUUUAUGGGUUGGUUAAGUUGUAUAAUGAGACUGAAUUUUAAAGAAUAAUUAUAGAAUAUGGGUCAGCUUUCGCUUAGUGAUAUUUGGUUGGACUAUUGUGGCAAAAAUAGAAGAUAUUCAGUUGGACUA